Molecule: long non-coding RNA, 854 nt
Filed under: Phasianus colchicus (ring-necked pheasant)
Lineage: Eukaryota; Metazoa; Chordata; Aves; Galliformes; Phasianidae
Description: lncRNA (ENSPCLG00000002046.1)
Source: RNAcentral
GUUUUGACAGUCAUGGAGAAUUAAGUCCUCUUCUACCCAAUAAUGCAAAAUUGUCAGCGAAAGAUUUUUUUUUUAUCUGUUGCCCUUAGACAUUCCAACUUCAUUUUGGAGUGACCAUUCCUAAAAGCAAAAAGACAGCAGUGACUCCGGAUCACUUUUUCUGCUGAGAUCAACUGCCUGCUACAAUGAUGAAUGUUUCUUUACUUUGGACUAAGCUGAAAUUCCUGGCUCCUUUCUUGUUUCCAAAAAGCAUGAAGUUUAUGAUCUGCAUGUUUCAGCUGAUUCUGGAGAAAGGAUUGCCAACACCUACAUUAUGUUUCGAGCUUGAGGAACUGGAUUUGUGCUCAUACCUAGUAUUUUCCUGCCUCGUCAUCUUCUGCUGGUUUCAACUGAAUGGAACUGUUGAGAACGGGCUGUUGCUAGUGCCUAUUUACAUGCUGUUAAAAUCGAUGAAAACUUAGAGUGCUUGCAAGUACUUAAUGUGAGUGGUAUGCAAGGAACAGAUCGCUCUGUUGCCAAGGAUUUUGGUGCUGAAUACUUCGACGCCCUUUCAUCUUCUAAUCCAUCAACAUCUGGAACUGUCGUAUUAGACUGCAUUCCUCUAGUCCUCUAAGUAUUUGUUUUUAGACUUGAUUGAAAUUACUACUUCUUUAUACAUGCCGAGUAUUUCUUCAACUGAAAGAAAAGGAAUGCAUGAGGGAAUUGAAAAUAGCCCUUGAAGGAUCUUUGUCCCGUAUCUUGCCAGGUUUCAAGACACUAGCAAUACAUUUUGCAAAAUCCUCAGUAGAACAGAUUGGUUUGGAGUACAGUUGUUCAACCAUAUUGUGAAAAUAAAUGCCAUUCUUGAAUUUGCA